Molecule: ribosomal RNA, 433 nt
Filed under: uncultured bacterium
Lineage: Bacteria
Description: partial 16S ribosomal RNA
Rfam family: Bacterial small subunit ribosomal RNA
Source: RNAcentral
AACGAACGCUGGCGGCAUGCCUAACACAUGCAAGUCGAACGAGACCUUCGGGUCUAGUGGCGCACGGGUGCGUAACGCGUGGGAAUCUGCCCUUGGGUUCGGAAUAACAGUUGGAAACGACUGCUAAUACCGGAUGAUGACUUAAGUCCAAAGAUUUAUCGCCCAGGGAUGAGCCCGCGUAGGAUUAGCUAGUUGGUGGGGUAAAGGCCUACCAAGGCGACGAUCCUUAGCUGGUCUGAGAGGAUGAUCAGCCACACUGGGACUGAGACACGGCCCAGACUCCUACGGGAGGCAGCAGUGGGGAAUAUUGGACAAUGGGCGAAAGCCUGAUCCAGCAAUGCCGCGUGAGUGAUGAAGGCCUUAGGGUUGUAAAGCUCUUUUACCCGGGAUGAUAAUGACAGUACCGGGAGAAUAAGCCCCGGCUAACUCCGUG